This is a long non-coding RNA of Scophthalmus maximus (turbot), 2668 nucleotides long. RefSeq lists it as uncharacterized. NCBI's taxonomy places the organism in Eukaryota, Metazoa, Chordata, Actinopteri, Pleuronectiformes, Scophthalmidae. The transcript has 5 exons. The record is from RefSeq and is a predicted model, not a curated record.
UUGUGAAUGCAGAAUCACAGUACAUUAGCCAUCACACCCAGUCACUGUCUCAUUAGUGACUUAUGAAUGUGAGAUUGAUUGCCAUAGUAAAGGUCAACCAGGCAUUUCAUAUCCAAGGGUGAGACCAGACUUGGCAUUGAAAGAGGCCCCUGUAAUUGAUUGAUGGGUCAUUGCUUUUUCUUCUACCAUCUGUUUCUCUGCAUAUUCAAGCUUUGCAUUGUUCCAGACUCUGCACAGUUACACUACUUGUUGUUGCUCGGUUAAUUGCAUAUGAUUGUGAUUUAUAUCAUACACGUCUGUGAAUCUUUCUUCUCUCUUUAUGCGGCUUAAGAUUCAUGCUGAAUAUCACUGGCUCACAGUGAGGAAAUAUUUGCUGAUUUUUACAAAACGUGAUUUGCUUUAGAAUUGCAUACUGCCCCUUUAAGACUAGGAAGUGCUAUAUAAAUGCAGUCUAUUUACCAUUUACAUUUACUACCAACGAAACAUUCAACACAAGUGUAUCGAAAAAAUGUUCAUUACUCGAAGCUUUGAAAAUCAGCGCUCGAUGAGGACCUCUGCUGGUGAAAGUCAGGGAAAGCGCUGUGUCGCAAACAUUCACCACCCACCAACACAUGGAUCAUGACGCAAAAAUUUGUGGAUGGAUAAAUUAAUGAAUGGAUAGUUAUUUGGGCUGGGACGAUAUUUGGGUGCCGAUUUGAUUUGUAGUGAUUCAGAUUUAUUUGAAUUCGAUUCGAAAAAAUCUAAUAUUGCAAUUUUAUUUUCCCGCUUAAAGAAAACUAAAAUACUUUUGCUUUAUUGAGAAAAGUGUUGAUCUUUUAUCCUGCCCAUCGUCCGGACCGUAGUUGGGGAGCAGGGUGAUUCUCCAGUGCUGAGGCAGUCUGCUCCGGGACCAACCCCUUCUUUUCCCUCCAACAGCGUGAUGAACGUACACACGGAGACUUUCGGGUGGAACCAAGGCGUUGCGGCGUUUGUUAUUGGACAUCAGUUGUAACAUUAGCUGCUAGCAUGUACACCGGACUUCGAGCUGCUCCGCCCUUUUCCUCUGUCUCGCUCCACGCACGUACACACACCACACCACAGACAACCAACACACUGCCCCAUUCACAACAGGAGUUACGCCACUCAUACAACAGGAUUGAAAUAUACAACAGUGGUUUCCUUUUCAGAAAAAGCAACAUGUUUAUUGCUUAUAGGGAAAAGUGUUUAAUUUCCUCACUAACAUCGGUUCCCGCUAAACAACAAUGGCCAAGAUAGGAAGUUGCUCUGUUGUUGGUUGCAAAAACAGAUGUGUCCCUGCCAUAUUCUCCCCACAUCUAAGGAUUUGAAAACCCAUUGGAUUCAUUUUAUUUUUAAUGGAAAUGUGCCCACAACAACCGGAAAAAUGUUGUAUGUGUGUGCUAACCAUUUUACCUCGGACUGCUUCCUCAACCAAGGCCAGUACAAUUUAGGAUGAGCUUCAAAACUCAAGCUGAAGAGUGGAUCCGUGCUGAGAGCCUGGGAGACAUCAUUAAACUCGGAAGCUUCUUUUGUGAAACUUCAUACCGGUGAAUGCCAGAGUGCCAGGCAAGCACAUCUGGUGCAUCACUACACGUUCCUGCAACAAGGGAUGCCACCUGGGCCGGAGAGAGUUGCAAAAUGGACCUCCAUCCUGAACCAUGUACAGGACAUUCAUAUACACGAGGACCCCCUUUUACCCCAGUACGAACAUCCUCUGCGCCAGACAAGGAACAGGAAGAAAUGGCUGUCAGGUCCUGCUUUGUACAAGCUGGAGAAGGUUUUGACAAAUAAAAGGUUUCUGAAGGAUGUUCCCAAACUGAGCCCACCACCAGACUUCAUCUUUGGAGGAUUUCCACAGCGUCACCCUUCAUUUUGCACCAAAGAAUGUUGUUUUUCCAUUUCUUUGAAUGCUGUGCAGACUCUACCUGCCUGCAAUGUAUUAUAAUGAAAACACUGGUCGACCACAAGCCGAAACCUCUGGUGGACAGCCUCGCUUUAAACUACACUUCCCAAAGGGCGGAUGCCGAGCAAAACCAGUUAAGACUGAGCCAACAUUCUGGUAUGUGGCUGUCUUGAUGGACCGAGUUUUUGAAAAAGUCUUUGUUGACCCGACACCCUACAUUGAUGCUGUAUUGAAAAUUCCCAUCCCAGGGGCCAUCGCUGCACAGUAUGAGCGGCCAGACAAGGAGGAGGUCAUAGCCAGAUAUGUGACCGUUUAACCAAGGGGUCUAAUUCCAACAUGCGCGAAUGCAAAGACAAGACAGGACAUUUAGUCAACAUCUAGCUCUUGCAAACAUCCAUCCUAUCUAUGGUGUCUUUCCUCAUAUGGAUUCAAUGAAUCCUACAAAUUUAUAUUAUCACUGAUGGUAACAGCAUUUUUUGUCAGUUUAUUUUUGUGUGAUAAAACAUUAGAUCACUGUCUAAUCUGUGCCGAUCUGAGUGAUAAGUGUGUGAAUAAAUGCUAUACAGUAUCUGUAAGAUGUCUUCUUUGAAUACAUGUUUGAUAUGCACACCAUCUGCUGACCAAAAAUGUAUUCAAUAGAUAAUUGUCACAAUAUAUUGUGUGUAAAAUUCACCUGACAAGAUAGUGGACAAGCUGUUUGAGCAGUAAGCUUUGCAAAGAUUGUCACACAUCGUAUGGAAAGUUGUUGCACAGGAGAACACAAGAAAA